Molecule: long non-coding RNA, 550 nt
Filed under: Trifolium pratense (red clover)
Lineage: Eukaryota; Viridiplantae; Streptophyta; Magnoliopsida; Fabales; Fabaceae
Description: long non-coding RNA (TPRA_LNC006372)
Source: RNAcentral
UACCCUUGAAUAUUAUUAUCCCUUGCUAGCCCCUUUGAGCCUUAUUGAAAGAAAAAUGUUUUGAUCUUACUUCUUUUUGAAAACCACAUAAUUUUUACAAAACAAAGAAAAAAAGAUGAUUUUCUUGAAGUUGAUCACCUAACUUGUGAUUUGAGCACAAUGCUCAUCAUUAAGUUUGGGGUUGCUCUUGGGAUUUGCAACCUAUUAAGUUUGGGGUGGGGUACUAGAGAACUAAAAGAAAAAUAUUUUGAAAAAAGUUUGUGAAAAAAAUAAUAUGAAGAAAAUAUUCCUCAUGAAAAGAAAGGAAAUGGUGAAAGAAAUGAAAAAUAAAUAAAUAAAGAGAAUGCAAAAUGCAUAACACCAUGUUUGAAAAAAAAAAAUUUGUCGAGGGACUUCUUUGUAAAAAAAAAAAAAUGUGAGCAUGGAAUGAGUUCACACAUUGUGAAUUCAUUUGCAUGAAGAAAAAAUUUGUGAAAACUAAGUUCUCUAGUAUGAAUGUAAUGAUUUUUGGGAGAUCAAUUGAUUUGUCCACUUUUGUUUGAAAUAGGUG